Molecule: non-coding RNA, 1030 nt
Organism: Leptonychotes weddellii (Weddell seal)
Lineage: Eukaryota; Metazoa; Chordata; Mammalia; Carnivora; Phocidae
Source: RefSeq, a predicted model, not a curated record
CGGGCCGCCCCGCCCACAGCCUCCCCUGCUCGCCUCCUCCUCACCUCUCCUCCUUGCAGGUUCCCGUGCGCACCCCUCAGAGCCGAGGCCGCGCUGGCCGUGAGGGCUCCUCCUCGGCCCCUCGCCCGCCCCCCAGAGCCGCCAUCCCUGCUGUUACAAGCCAGAGGCACCCGGAUGUGAGGCCCCAGAUCACCUCCAGGGACUUGGGGUUCCGAACUGAAAUCCUUUAUUUUUGUACCUCGGGGUGGGCCCCCGGCUCCAGGCAGAGGAAGCACCCUCCCCCCUGCCACUUCUGUCUACACCUGGGGGGCUUUGAUUUCCUCCCGCCUCUGGGGCCCUCUCAAGGCCCGAGGUGGGCCCUGGGACCCCUAGGCAGAGCCGCCUGUGUGUGGCCCAAGUGUGGCUCUGUCCAGCUGUGUUUCCCACACCCCCAUGGCCCUUCCCCCAGGUCCCCCAGCUGCAUGAACGAUACCCUCCCCCCUGACCCAGUCACAUCUCCUCCCUGAGCCUUAGUCUCCUCGUCUGUCAAAUGGGCUCACUCUCCCCGCCGCCACCACCUACCUCACAGGGUUGUUGUGAGGUUACAAAGAGGAGCAAGGUCCCAGAAAGCCCUGGGGAAGUGUACAAAGCACCAGACUGGAGGGUGGCCUUCCCUUCACCCUUCCCUCGGAGGGGGAGGACCUGCUCAGCCCCAGAUGGAGAUUCAGGUAUUGAUGGGGCGAAGGGUGUGGGGGUUGGCCUUGUGGGGAGAAGAGGGAGGGUGACCCAGCCUUCACCUUGGCUCCUCCCACCCGUCCGCACUGCUGGCUGCAGAGGGCCCUGGCCAGGAGGGGCCAGGAGGGGGCAGGCGGGGGCUCAGCAGGGGCAGGGGGCCAUUCAGGAACUAGUGCUAAGGGCCAGGGGGACACUCCUCCCUUUGCCCAGGGGAGAGUCUGGGGGUAGCAGGGGCUGAGCAGGAGCCCCCUCCUGCAUUUAGGAUCCCCCAGGCUGUGUCCAACCCCGCCAUGUAAUAAAGCCUGAAGAAACAGCC